UGUGCCUCGGGCCAGUUGUAUCUCAACUAUAGGAAUUUUUUGUUUUGAACUGUAAACCAAUAAUGAUUAUAACGGCAAUCAUCCUUAUUGCAAACAUCUUCAAAUAGACUGUCCUUAUGAAAAUUAAAAAGUAAGCUCCGCCCGAUCAGUUGAAAUAACAUUGGUAAUAGGCAUAAACAAUCGGAUUAACCGCUUACUAAGACCACGAUUUAAU
RNAcentral lists this long non-coding RNA (214 nucleotides) under Mytilus galloprovincialis (Mediterranean mussel). Lineage: Eukaryota; Metazoa; Mollusca; Bivalvia; Mytilida; Mytilidae. The record is from RNAcentral.